GGGGUUGUGGCUCAGUGGUAGAGUGCUUGCCUAGCAUGGCAUGUGUGAGGCACUGGGUUAGAUCCUCAGCACCACA
RNAcentral lists this transfer RNA (76 nucleotides) under Marmota monax (woodchuck). RNAcentral's name for it is "tRNA.Ala". Lineage: Eukaryota; Metazoa; Chordata; Mammalia; Rodentia; Sciuridae. The record is from RNAcentral.